This 253-nucleotide ribosomal RNA is filed under the name uncultured bacterium. RNAcentral describes it as "partial 16S ribosomal RNA". It matches the Rfam family "Bacterial small subunit ribosomal RNA", at positions 524 to 776 of the family's 1533-position model. The record is from RNAcentral.
UACGUAGGGGGCUAGCGUUGCUCGGAAUCACUGGGCGUAAAGCGCACGUAGGCGGACUCUUAAGUCGGUGGUGAAAUCCUGGAACUCAACUCCAGAACUGCCUUCGAUACUGAGAGUCUUGAGUCCGGGAGAGGUGAGUGGAGCUGCGAGUGUAGAGGUGAAAUUCGUAGAUAUUCGCAAGAACACCAGUGGCGAAGGCGGCUCACUGGACCGGCAUUGACGCUGAGGUGCGAAAGCGUGGGGAGCAAACAGG